RNAcentral lists this ribosomal RNA (492 nucleotides) under uncultured bacterium. RNAcentral's name for it is "partial 16S ribosomal RNA". It matches the Rfam family "Bacterial small subunit ribosomal RNA", at positions 29 to 507 of the family's 1533-position model. The record is from RNAcentral.
AGUGAACGCUGGCGGUAGGCCUAACACAUGCAAGUCGAACGGCAGCACAGUAAGAGCUUGCUCUUACGGGUGGCGAGUGGCGGACGGGUGAGGAAUACAUCGGAAUCUACUUUUUCGUGGGGGAUAACGUAGGGAAACUUACGCUAAUACCGCAUACGACUUACGGGUGAAAGCAGGGGACCUUCGGACUUUGCGCGAUUGAAUGAGCCGAUGUCGGAUUAGUUAGUUGGCGGGGUAAAGGCCCACCAAGGCGACGAUCCGUAGCUGGUCUGAGAGGAUGAUCAGCCACACUGGAACUGAGACACGGUCCAGACUCCUACGGGAGGCAGCAGUGGGGAAUAUUGGACAAUGGGCGCAAGCCUGAUCCAGCCAUACCGCGUGGGUGAAGAAGGCCUUCGGGUUGUAAAGCCCUUUUGUUGGGAAAGAAAAGCAGCAGGUUAAUACCCCGCUGUUCUGACGGUACCCAAAGAAUAAGCACCGGCUAACUUCGUG